Molecule: long non-coding RNA, 344 nt
Organism: Myripristis murdjan (pinecone soldierfish)
Lineage: Eukaryota; Metazoa; Chordata; Actinopteri; Holocentriformes; Holocentridae
Exons: 3
Source: RefSeq, a predicted model, not a curated record
GGAAGUGGAAAACACAGCAGGGCAACUGAUAGAACUGGUGGAGACUGAUAUUGUUUUGUUUUUACCAAUGCACCACACCUAAAAGGAAGCCACGUCUGUCAUACAGAGCUCACAUGGCAAAAAGCAUCAGAUUGGCAAAAAGCCGACGAUUCUCCACGAAAAACAGUUUUCACCUGGGAAAUAUGUCAUGAAGCAAGCUUACUUCUGGACAAGUUGCAUACAAAUUGAAGCUGAGCCCCAUGAAGAGAAUCGACAGAGAAUGAGACUUAAGAGUCUCACUCAAGCCACCAGAGGCCACGGGUAUAUUUCCAAUAUUUUUGGGCCAUAAAUCUUUCUCUCAAGUU